RNAcentral lists this unclassified non-coding RNA (367 nucleotides) under fungal sp. RNAcentral describes it as "partial internal transcribed spacer region". The stretch from base 1 to 46 matches the Rfam family "Eukaryotic small subunit ribosomal RNA", at positions 1786 to 1831 of the family's 1831-position model. Lineage: Eukaryota; Fungi. The record is from RNAcentral.
AAGUCGUAACAAGGUUUCCGUAGGUGAACCUGCGGAAGGAUCAUUAACACGUAUACACGUUUAACCAACAUUCUGUGAACUAAUCGACCCCUGUGUUUUGUUGUGUUGCUGGCAUGAUGAGUGAUGGGUGUUGAGACACGUAAAAAAUGUCGAUACACGGUCAUGUCGAAAACUUCGAUCUUUUGAUCGUAUUGGCUGGGGCUUCGAGCCCGGUACGCGCUGACACAGGUCUUCACCAUCAUUGGAAAACCUCAUACCCUUUUAACUAUAUAACACAACUUGACUGAUGUACGUAAUGUAAGAGAAAUCUGGCAUUCGUCUUUAUCUAAACUAAGCACAACUCUUAGCAAUGGAUAUCUUGGUUCUC